AAAAUAGUAAUUCAUAAAGAAUAUGUAAUUUGCAUUUACAAAGAGCUAAAGCCUAUUUUA
RNAcentral lists this transfer RNA (60 nucleotides) under Grandidierella rubroantennata. Its description in RNAcentral is "tRNA-Ala". The record is from RNAcentral. Lineage: Eukaryota; Metazoa; Arthropoda; Malacostraca; Amphipoda; Corophiidae.